GACGAACGCUGGCGGCGUGCUUAACACAUGCAAGUCGAACGGAAAGGCCCUGCUUUUGUGGGGUGCUCGAGUGGCGAACGGGUGAGUAACACGUGAGUAACCUGCCCUUGACUUUGGGAUAACUUCAGGAAACUGGGGCUAAUACCGGAUAGGAGCUCCUGCUGCAUGGUGGGGGUUGGAAAGUUUCGGCGGUUGGGGAUGGACUCGCGGCUUAUCAGCUUGUUAGUGGGGUAGUGGCUUACCAAGGCUUUGACGGGUAGGCGGCCUGAGAGGGUGACCGGCCACAUUGGGACUGAGAUACGGCCCAGACUCCUACGGGAGGCAGCAGUGGGGAAUAUUGCACAAUGGGCGGAAGCCUGAUGCAGCAACGCCGCGUGCGGGAUGACGGCCUUCGGGUUGUAAACCGCUUUCGCCUGUGACGAAGCGUGAGUGACGGUAAUGGGUAAAGAAGCACCGGCUAACUACGUG
This 468-nucleotide ribosomal RNA is filed under the name uncultured bacterium. RNAcentral's name for it is "partial 16S ribosomal RNA". It matches the Rfam family "Bacterial small subunit ribosomal RNA", at positions 28 to 507 of the family's 1533-position model. The record is from RNAcentral.